This 237-nucleotide ribosomal RNA is filed under the name uncultured Glomus. RNAcentral describes it as "partial 18S ribosomal RNA". It matches the Rfam family "Eukaryotic small subunit ribosomal RNA", at positions 667 to 886 of the family's 1831-position model. RNAcentral also lists the same sequence under 1 other name. The record is from RNAcentral. Lineage: Eukaryota; Fungi; Glomeromycota; Glomeromycetes; Glomerales; Glomeraceae.
GAUCAAUAUUUCGGUCAUGCCGUUGGUAUGCACUGUUAUCAUUGAUUUCUCACCUUCUAAAGAACCGUAAUGCCAUUAAUUUGGUGUUACGGGAAAUUAGGACUGUUACCUUGAAAAAUUAGAGUGUUUAAAGCAGGCUCACGCUUGAAUACAUUAGCAUGGAAUAAUGAAAUAGGACAUCCGAUUCUAUUUUGUUGGUUUCUAGGAUCGAUGUAAUGAUUAAUAGGGAUAGUUGAG